ACGGGCUCUUCGGAGCUAGUGGCGGACGGGUGAGUAACGCGUGAGAAUCUGGCUUCAGGUUCGGGACAACAGUUGGAAACGGCUGCUAAUACCGGAUGUGCCUUAUGGUGAAAGAUUUAUCACCUGAAGAUGAGCUCGCGUCUGAUUAGCUAGUUGGUGUGGUAAGAGCGCACCAAGGCGACGAUCAGUAGCUGGUCUGAGAGGAUGAUCAGCCACACUGGGACUGAGACACGGCCCAGACUCCUACGGGAGGCAGCAGUGGGGAAUUUUCCGCAAUGGGCGAAAGCCUGACGGAGCAAUACCGCGUGAGGGAGGAAGGCUCUUGGGUUGUAAACCUCUUUUCUCAGGGAAGAAUAAUGACGGUACCUGAGGAAUAAGCAUCGGCUAACUCCGUGCCAGCAGCCGCGGUAAUACGGAGGAUGCAAGCGUUAUCCGGAAUGAUUGGGCGUAAAGCGUCCGCAGGUGGCAAUGUAAGUCUGCUGUCAAAGCGUCUGGCUCAACCAGAUAAAGGCAGUGGAAACUACAUAGCUAGAGUAAGGUAGGGGUAGAGGGAAUUCCUGGUGUAGCGGUGAAAUGCGUAGAGAUCAGGAAGAACACCGGUGGCGAAGGCGCUCUGCUGGACCUUAACUGACACUGAGGGACGAAAGCUAGGGGAGCGAAUGGGAUUAGAUACCCCAGUAGUCCUAGCCGUAAACGAUGGAUACUAG
RNAcentral lists this ribosomal RNA (707 nucleotides) under uncultured cyanobacterium. RNAcentral's name for it is "bacterial SSU rRNA". It matches the Rfam family "Bacterial small subunit ribosomal RNA", at positions 66 to 819 of the family's 1533-position model. The record is from RNAcentral. Lineage: Bacteria; Bacillati; Cyanobacteriota.